CAGCCACAAUAAGGGUGUCCAUGGAUUCCU
RNAcentral lists this non-coding RNA (30 nucleotides) under Homo sapiens (human). Lineage: Eukaryota; Metazoa; Chordata; Mammalia; Primates; Hominidae. The record is from RNAcentral.